This 702-nucleotide ribosomal RNA is filed under the name uncultured bacterium. RNAcentral describes it as "bacterial SSU rRNA". It matches the Rfam family "Bacterial small subunit ribosomal RNA", at positions 71 to 746 of the family's 1533-position model. The record is from RNAcentral.
UCGGAGUGCUUGCACUCUGUGAAACAAGAUACAGGCUAGCGGCGGACGGGUGAGUAACACGUGGGUAACCUGCCCAAGAGAUCGGGAUAACACCUGGAAACAGAUGCUAAUACCGGAUAAUAACAGAUGAUGCCUAUCAACUGUUUAAAAGAUGGUUCUGCUAUCACUCUUGGAUGGACCUGCGGUGCAUUAGCUAGUUGGUAGGGUAACGGCCUACCAAGGCGAUGAUGCAUAGCCGAGUUGAGAGACUGAUCGGCCACAUUGGGACUGAGACACGGCCCAAACUCCUACGGGAGGCAGCAGUAGGGAAUCUUCCACAAUGGACGCAAGUCUGAUGGAGCAACGCCGCGUGAGUGAAGAAGGGUUUCGGCUCGUAAAGCUCUGUUGUUGGUGAAGAAGGACAGGGGUAGUAACUGACCUUUGUUUGACGGUAAUCAAUUAGAAAGUCACGGCUAACUACGUGCCAGCAGCCGCGGUAAUACGUAGGUGGCAAGCGUUGUCCGGAUUUAUUGGGCGUAAAGCGAGUGCAGGCGGUUCGAUAAGUCUGAUGUGAAAGCCUUCGGCUCAACCGGAGAAUUGCAUCAGAAACUGUCGAGCUUGAGUACAGAAGAGGAGAGUGGAACUCCAUGUGUAGCGGUGAAAUGCGUAGAUAUAUGGAAGAACACCGGUGGCGAAGGCGGCUCUCUGGUCUGUUACUGACGC